CAUGCCUUACACAUGCAAGUCGAACGGCAGCACGGGAGCAAUCCUGGUGGCGAGUGGCGAACGGGUGAGUAAUAUAUCGGAACGUGCCCAGUCGUGGGGGAUAACGUAGCGAAAGUUACGCUAAUACCGCAUACGAUCUACGGAUGAAAGCGGGGGACUCGCAAGAGCCUCGCGCGAUUGGAGCGGCCGAUAUCAGAUUAGGUAGUUGGUGGGGUAAAGGCUCACCAAGCCAACGAUCUGUAGCUGGUCUGAGAGGACGACCAGCCACACUGGAACUGAGACACGGUCCAGACUCCUACGGGAGGCAGCAGUGGGGAAUUUUGGACAAUGGACGCAAGUCUGAUCCAGCCAUUCCGCGUGCAGGAUGAAGGCCCUCGGGUUGUAAACUGCUUUUGUACGGAACGAAACGGUGAGCUCUAAUACAGUUUGCUAAUGACGGUACCGUAAGAAUAAGCACCGGCUAACUACGUG
This 471-nucleotide ribosomal RNA is filed under the name uncultured bacterium. RNAcentral describes it as "bacterial SSU rRNA". It matches the Rfam family "Bacterial small subunit ribosomal RNA", at positions 43 to 507 of the family's 1533-position model. The record is from RNAcentral.